UACGAAGGGGGCUAGCGUUGUUCGGAUUUACUGGGCGUAAAGCGCACGUAGGCGGAUCGUUAAGUCGGGGGUGAAAUCCUGGAGCUCAACUCCAGAACUGCCUUCGAUACUGGCGAUCUUGAGUCCGGAAAAGGUGAGUGGAACUCCUAGUGUAGAGGUGGAAUUCGUAGAUAUUAGGAAGAACACCAGUGGCGAAGGCGGCUCACUGGUCCGGUACUGACGCUGAGGUGCGAAAGCGUGGGGAGCAAACAGG
This 253-nucleotide ribosomal RNA is filed under the name uncultured bacterium. Its description in RNAcentral is "partial 16S ribosomal RNA". It matches the Rfam family "Bacterial small subunit ribosomal RNA", at positions 524 to 776 of the family's 1533-position model. The record is from RNAcentral.